UCGUUUUCCAGCAAUACUCAAGAUUAGAAGGCAUUGUUGAUGGGGUGAGACAAAGUUGGGAGGAGGCCAAUACAGAGCAGUAACUCCAGCAGAGACCAGCUGGGUUUUGUGCUAACAAACAAAACAGGAGCGGUCUCCGUGGCGAUGGACAAAGUGCAAUGAUCCGCAGAUAAAUGCACCAUCCACAAAGUCCAGGUUCAAUAUCCAACCUUAACUCAGAAAGGGCAGUCACCGAGGAGCUGCAAGAGGCCUCAAUUCCCCUCGAUAGUGAAGGACAAGACCAAAACACAGCUUUCAUUGAGUCAAUGCCACACCCACAUGGACACCAGCCUCGAUGGAAGCUGAGGAGAGCUGGCCAAGUACCAUAACCACUCUAUCAUCACACUGAGCAAGCUUACAAUGAUAAGGAGAUCAGCAUGGGUUCCAGUGAACACUGGGAUGUCCAUA
This is a non-coding RNA of Chiloscyllium plagiosum (whitespotted bambooshark), 447 nucleotides long. NCBI's taxonomy places the organism in Eukaryota, Metazoa, Chordata, Chondrichthyes, Orectolobiformes, Hemiscylliidae. The record is from RefSeq and is a predicted model, not a curated record.